Molecule: ribosomal RNA, 406 nt
Filed under: uncultured bacterium
Lineage: Bacteria
Description: partial 16S ribosomal RNA
Rfam family: Bacterial small subunit ribosomal RNA
Source: RNAcentral
AUUGAACGCUGGCGGCAGGCCUAACACAUGCAAGUCGAACGAGAGGCGGACGGGUGAGUAAUGUCUGGGAAACUGUCUGCUGGAGGGGGAUAUCUACUGGAAACGGUAGCUAAUACCGCAUACCAUCGGAUGUGCCCAGAUGGGAUUAGCUAGUAGGUGGGUUAACGGCGCACAUGGGCGACGAUCCCUAGCUGGUCUGAGAGGAGGAACAGCAACACUGGAACUGAGACACGGUCCAGACUCCUACGGGAGGCAGCAGUGGGGAAUAUUGCACAAUGGGCGCAAGCCUGAUGCAGCCAUGCCGCGUGUAUGAAGAAGGCCUUCGGGUUGUAAAGUACUUUCAGCGGGGAGGCGUUACCCGCAGAAGAAGCACCGGCUAACUCCGUGCCAGCAGCCGCGGUAAUAC